AUACGGAGGGUGCAAGCGUUAUUCGGAAUCACUGGGCGUAAAGGACGCGUAGGCGGGUUGGUAAGUCAGGUGUGAAAUCCUACAGCUUAACUGUAGAACUGCACUUGAAACUACAGACCUAGAGUAUGGGAGGGGCAGAUGGAAUUAGUGGUGUAGGGGUAAAAUCCGUAGAUAUCACUAGGAAUACCGAAAGCGAAGGCGAUCUGCUGGAACAUAACUGACGCUAAGGCGUGAAAGCGUGGGGAGCAAACAGGAUUAGAAACCCUAGUAGUCC
Molecule: ribosomal RNA, 274 nt
Filed under: uncultured bacterium
Lineage: Bacteria
Description: partial 16S ribosomal RNA
Rfam family: Bacterial small subunit ribosomal RNA
Source: RNAcentral